Molecule: ribosomal RNA, 486 nt
Filed under: uncultured bacterium
Lineage: Bacteria
Description: partial 16S ribosomal RNA
Rfam family: Bacterial small subunit ribosomal RNA
Source: RNAcentral
AUUGAACGCUGGCGACAUGCCUUACACAUGCAAGUCGAACGGCAGCACGGGUGCUUGCACCUGGUGGCGAGUGGCGAACGGGUGAGUAAUGCAUCGGAACAUGUCCUGUAGUGGGGGAUAGCCCGGCGAAAGCCGGAUUAAUACCGCAUACGAUCUACGGAUGAAAGCGGGGGACCUUCGGGCCUCGCGCUAUAGGGUUGGCCGAUGGCUGAUUAGCUAGUUGGUGGGGUAAAGGCCUACCAAGGCGACGAUCAGUAGCUGGUCUGAGAGGACGACCAGUCACACUGGGACUGAGACACGGCCCAGACUCCUACGGGAGGCAGCAGUGGGGAAUUUUGGACAAUGGGCGAAAGCCUGAUCCAGCAAUGCCGCGUGUGUGAAGAAGGCCUUCGGGUUGUAAAGCACUUUUGUCCGGAAAGAAAUCCUUGGCCCUAAUACGGUCGGGGGAUGACGGUACCGGAAGAAUAAGCACCGGCUAACUACGUG